AGGACGAACGCUGGCGGCGUGCUUAAUACAUGCAAGUGGAGCGACGAACCAGGCUUCGGCCUGGGGCAAAGCCGCGAACGGGUGAGUAUCACGUGGGUAACGUGCCCCGAUGACCGGGACAACCCGAGGAAACUCGGGCUAAUACCGGAUGUGAUGUGCGACCUUAAGGUCACACAACAAAGGAAGCUUCGGCCUCCGCAUUGGGAGCCGGCCCGCGG
Molecule: ribosomal RNA, 218 nt
Filed under: uncultured soil bacterium
Lineage: Bacteria
Description: partial 16S ribosomal RNA
Rfam family: Bacterial small subunit ribosomal RNA
Source: RNAcentral